UCCAGACUCCUACGGGAGGCAGCAGUGGGGAAUAUUGCACAAUGGGGGAAACCCUGAUGCAGCGACGCCGCGUGAGCGAAGAAGUAUUUCGGUAUGUAAAGCUCUAUCAGCAGGGAAGAAAAUGACGGUACCUGACUAAGAAGCUCCGGCUAAAUACGUGCCAGCAGCCGCGGUAAUACGUAUGGAGCAAGCGUUAUCCGGAUUUACUGGGUGUAAAGGGAGCGUAGGCGGAAGGUUAAGUCAGCGGUCAAAUGUCGGUGCUCAACACCGGCCUGCCGUUGAAACUGGUCUUCUUGAGUGAGCGAGAAGUAUGCGGAAUGCGUGGUGUAGCGGUGAAAUGCAUAGAUAUCACGCAGAACUCCGAUUGCGAAGGCAGCAUACCGGCGCUCAACUGACGCUGAGGCACGAAAGCGUGGGGAUCGAACAGGAUUAGAUACCCCUGUAA
RNAcentral lists this ribosomal RNA (445 nucleotides) under uncultured bacterium. RNAcentral describes it as "bacterial SSU rRNA". It matches the Rfam family "Bacterial small subunit ribosomal RNA", at positions 330 to 793 of the family's 1533-position model. The record is from RNAcentral.